This 581-nucleotide long non-coding RNA is filed under the name Homo sapiens (human). Its description in RNAcentral is "HSALNT0320011". Lineage: Eukaryota; Metazoa; Chordata; Mammalia; Primates; Hominidae. The record is from RNAcentral.
CAGAAUCAAUUCUAGCAGCUUUCAAAUGCGUGUACUUAAAAAAAAGAAAGAAUUUCCAACAGACAUAUAAAAUGCCAGAAUUAAACGUUCAAGGGUACUGGGAGCAGCAAAGAAAAGCCACAGCAACAUCAGUUUGACCACGAAUGCUGCUUAAUGGUUCCUUCGCCAUUUCAGCUGCCACCAUCCCCUCUCCCCAAAACCCCAGUAGACAUCAACAGAAUCCAGAAACUACAGGGUCCACUGGCAUGGCAGGGCCUGUAGGAUUCUUUUCCAAUGUGUACAGAUUGGCUGAUGCCUGGACUAUGCCAGUUCACUGUUUUAAAGAUUACUCUUGAUUGUCACAAUUAAAAACAAAGAAUAUUUAGAACCAAAUUAUAUGUGUUGCACAUUAAACAAAACGUUUUAUAAUAUGUUCUAAAAGUCAGCAAAGGUUAUUUAGCUGUGUAUGAUUCAUUUCACAAUUCCAUUUUUUAAUAUUGUAAUUCUCCCUUAUGCCUUCUAAUUUUUUUUGAAAUGACCACAGAUAUCUUCUGUAGGCCAAAUAGCAUAUUACACAUCUGUCAAAACAUACUUUAUUAUCA